UACAGGGGGUGCAAACGUUGCUCGGAAUCAUUGGGCGUAAAGGGUGCGUAGGUGGCCUUAUAAGUCAGCGGUGAAAGUCUGCAGCUUAACUGUAGAACUGCCAUUAAUACUGUAAGGCUUGAGUACUGAUGAGGUAGGCGGAAUUGAUAGUGUAGCGGUGAAAUGCAUAGAUAUUAUCAAGAACACCGAUUGCGAAGGCAGCUUACUAAGGAGUUACUGACACUGAGGCACGAAAGCGUGGGGAUCAAACAGG
Molecule: ribosomal RNA, 253 nt
Filed under: uncultured bacterium
Lineage: Bacteria
Description: partial 16S ribosomal RNA
Rfam family: Bacterial small subunit ribosomal RNA
Source: RNAcentral